ACCAGUGUGACGUAGUGGUUUGAGUGUUGGACUAUAACUUUGGAGACUUGGGUUCAAAUCCCUGCUCAGCCA
Molecule: non-coding RNA, 72 nt
Organism: Phrynosoma platyrhinos (Desert horned lizard)
Lineage: Eukaryota; Metazoa; Chordata; Lepidosauria; Squamata; Phrynosomatidae
Source: the annotation of a GenBank genome assembly